Molecule: ribosomal RNA, 239 nt
Filed under: uncultured bacterium
Lineage: Bacteria
Description: partial 16S ribosomal RNA
Rfam family: Bacterial small subunit ribosomal RNA
Source: RNAcentral
UACGAAGGGGGCUAGCGUUGCUCGGAAUUACUGGGCGUAAAGCGCACGUAGGCGGCUUUGUAAGUUAGAGGUGAAAGCCUGGAGCUCAACUCCAGAAUUGCCUUUAAGACUGCAUCGCUUGAAUCAUGGAGAGGCGGGUGGAAUUCCGAGUGUAGAGGUGAAAUUCGUAGAUAUUCGGAAGAACACCAGUGGCGAAGGCGGCCCGCCUGGACAUGUAUUGACGCUGAGGUGGCGAAAGC